Molecule: ribosomal RNA, 406 nt
Filed under: uncultured bacterium
Lineage: Bacteria
Description: partial 16S ribosomal RNA
Rfam family: Bacterial small subunit ribosomal RNA
Source: RNAcentral
AUUGAACGCUGGCGGCAGGCCUAACACAUGCAAGUCGAACGAGCCGCGGACGGGUGAGAAAUGUCUGGGACACUGCCUGAUGGAGGGGGAUAACUUCUGGAAACGGUAGCUAAUCCCGCAUACCAUCAGAUGUGCCCAUGUGGGAUUAGCUAGUAGGUGGGGUAAUGGCUCAACUAGGCGACGAUCCCUAGCUGGUCUGAGAGUAUGACCAGCCACACUGGAACUGAGACACGGUCCAGACUCCUACGGGAGGCAGCAGUGGUGAAGAUUGCACAAUGGGCGCAAUCCUUAUGCAGCCAUGCCGCGUGUGUGAAGAAGGCCUUCGGGUUGUAAAGUACUUUCAGCGGGGAGGCGUUACCCGCAGAAGAAGCACCGGCUAACUCCGUGCCAGCAGCCGCGGUAAUAC